Molecule: ribosomal RNA, 829 nt
Filed under: uncultured Actinobacteridae bacterium
Lineage: Bacteria; Bacillati; Actinomycetota; Actinomycetes
Description: bacterial SSU rRNA
Rfam family: Bacterial small subunit ribosomal RNA
Source: RNAcentral
AGGGUUUGAUCAUGGCUCAGGACGAACGCUGGCGGCGUGCUUAACACAUGCAAGUCGAGCGAGGUCCAUCCUGUCGCAAGACAGGUGAAGACCUAGCGGCGAACGGGUGAGUAACACGUGAGGAACCUGCCCCGAAGACUGGGAUAACACCGGGAAACCGGUGCUAAUACCGGAUGCCCUCAGAGAGUCGCAUGGCUCAUUGAGGAAAUGGAUUCCGCUUCGGGAGGGCCUCGCGGCCUAUCAGCUUGUUGGUGGGGUAACGGCCUACCAAGGCUCCGACGGGUAGCUGGUCUGAGAGGACGACCAGCCACACUGGGACUGAGACACGGCCCAGACUCCUACGGGAGGCAGCAGUGGGGAAUCUUGCGCAAUGGGCGAAAGCCUGACGCAGCAACGCCGCGUGGGGGACGAAGGCCUUCGGGUUGUAAACCCCUUUCAGCAGGGACGAAAAUGACGGUACCUGCAGAAGAAGCCCCGACCAACUACGUGCCAGCAGCCGCGGUAAUACGUAGGGGGCGAGCGUUGUCCGGAUUUAUUGGGCGUAAAGAGCUCGUAGGCGGUUUGGCAAGUCGGGUGUGAAAACUCCGGGCUCAACUCGGAGACGCCACUCGAUACUGCCAUGACUCGAGUCCGGUAGGGGAGUGCGGAAUUCCUGGUGUAGCGGUGAAAUGCGCAGAUAUCAGGAGGGACACCGGUGGCGAAGGCGGCACUCUGGGCCGGUACUGACGCUGAGGAGCGAAAGCGUGGGGAGCGAACAGGAUUAGAUACCCUGGUAGUCCACGCCGUAAACGUUGGGCACUAGGUGUGGGGCUCGAUCGACGGGCUCCGU